Molecule: ribosomal RNA, 407 nt
Filed under: uncultured bacterium
Lineage: Bacteria
Description: partial 16S ribosomal RNA
Rfam family: Bacterial small subunit ribosomal RNA
Source: RNAcentral
UGGGGAAUAUUGCACAAUGGGCGAAAGCCUGAUGCAGCAACGCCGCGUGAGGGAUGACGGCCUUCGGGUUGUAAACCUCUUUUAGUAGGGAAGAAGCGAAAGUGACGGUACCUGCAGAAAAAGCACCGGCUAACUACGUGCCAGCAGCCGCGGGAAUACGUAGGGUGCAAGCGUUGUCCGGAAUUAUUGGGCGUAAAGAGCUCGUAGGCGGUUUGUCGCGUCUGCUGUGAAAUCCCGAGGCUCAACCUCGGGUCUGCAGUGGGUACGGGCAGACUAGAGUGUGGUAGGGGAGAUUGGAAUUCCUGGUGUAGCGGUGGAAUGCGCAGAUAUCAGGAGGAACACCGAUGGCGAAGGCAGAUCUCUGGGCCAUUACUGACGCUGAGGAGCGAAAGCAUGGGGAGCGAACA